AUGAACGCUAGCGACAGGCUUAACACAUGCAAGUCGAGGGGUAACAGGGUAGCAAUACCGCUGACGACCGGCGCACGGGUGAGUAACGCGUAUGCAACCUGCCUAUAACUGGGGAAUAGCUCCCUGAAAGGGGAAUUAACACCGCAUAACACUAUUGAUUCGCAUGAAUUGGUAGUUAAAUGUAGCGAUACAGGUUAUAGAUGGGCAUGCGUGACAUUAGCUAGUUGGUGAGGUAACGGCUCACCAAGGCUACGAUGUCUAGGGGUUCUGAGAGGAAGGUCCCCCCACACUGGUACUGAGACACGGACCAGACUCCUACGGGAGGCAGCAGUGAGGAAUAUUGGUCAAUGGGCGCAAGCCUGAACCAGCCAUGUCGCGUGCAGGAAGAACCUGCCCUAUGGGUUGUAAACUGCUUUUAUAGUAGAAGAAACACAUCUACGAGUAGAUGUCUGCCAGUAUACUAUGAAUAAGCAUCGGCUAACUCCGUGCCAGCCGCCGC
Molecule: ribosomal RNA, 499 nt
Filed under: uncultured bacterium
Lineage: Bacteria
Description: bacterial SSU rRNA
Rfam family: Bacterial small subunit ribosomal RNA
Source: RNAcentral